Molecule: non-coding RNA, 627 nt
Organism: Macaca mulatta (Rhesus monkey)
Lineage: Eukaryota; Metazoa; Chordata; Mammalia; Primates; Cercopithecidae
Source: RefSeq, a predicted model, not a curated record
GGAGGGAAGCGGAGAGCGGGAAGCGUGAGUCCUGGGGAACGGCGCAUGCGCGAAACUGGGGCACAAACAAGAUGGCGGGCACGCCGUUUGCACCGUCUCCAGUUUUCCUCUCCCUUUCCCAUGGUGCCCCGACUCCUAUAAUUAAUUUCAUAUAAGAGGAUGUUUCAUGGCCCUUAAGGAAGCCUCUGUUCGCCCACAUGAUGAAAGGGUGAGAGAUGAGCAAGGAGAAGCCGAGGUUCGCCUGCCUCGCCCUGCCUGGGCAGAGGACUGUGGCGCCUGGCAACUACAGUUCUCCCUCUGCUUCUGUGGGUUUGACUCUUAAGAUUCAUCAUUUGAACCAACCCAGUGACCAAGAAAAAUAUUCAUGUCAGAAAACAUUGUGAAAGAUUUUGAAGUUGGCAUAAAGGUAACUGGGUGUUUUGCCCAGAGAGUAUGCUUAUGGGAUAUCUAUGUCUUUUACUUUGAACUAUUUUACAACUUUGUAACCUGUAGAUAAUUGAUGGCAAUGCAAAUUAGUCAUGUCCAAAGACAAACACAGCCUCGUUAUUCAUAGUAGCCUAGUUCUACGAAGUUGCCAUGAACACUGAAUUAAAGAAUGCUGACUUUAGUAAAGCUCUAAAAUACUUU